Molecule: ribosomal RNA, 208 nt
Filed under: uncultured bacterium
Lineage: Bacteria
Description: partial 16S ribosomal RNA
Rfam family: Bacterial small subunit ribosomal RNA
Source: RNAcentral
GUCUCAGUUCGGAUUGGAGUCUGCAACCCGACUCCAUGAAGCUGGAUUCGCUAGUAAUCGCGCAUCAGCCACGGCGCGGUGAAUACGUUCCCGGGCCUUGUACACACCGCCCGUCAAGCCAUGGAAGCCGGGAGUGCCUGAAGUGCGUGACCGCAAGGAGCGUCCUAAGGCAAUACCGGUGACUGGGGCUAAGUCGUAACAAGGUAGC